RNAcentral lists this ribosomal RNA (556 nucleotides) under Chelonus (Microchelonus) sp. RK392. RNAcentral's name for it is "eukaryotic LSU rRNA". It matches the Rfam family "Eukaryotic large subunit ribosomal RNA", at positions 432 to 768 of the family's 3401-position model. Lineage: Eukaryota; Metazoa; Arthropoda; Insecta; Hymenoptera; Braconidae. The record is from RNAcentral.
GGAGAUUCAUCGUCAAAAUAUGUGGUAUUAAUGCUAGUUAUGAUAUGGUAAAUAAUCCUUGUGGUUACUAUACUGUACAUUCUAGUAUUAUUUUUGCCAUGUAUGUCGGCGUGCACUUCUCCUCUAGUAGAACGUCGCGACCCGUUAGGUGUUGAUCUUAUGGCCUGAUUGAUUGCCUCUUUCUGCUUGCAGUUGGAGAUCAUUAGUGUUCCUGAUCAACUGUUUGACGGUACUCGUAUGGUAUUCAGUCGCUAUUAUUAGCGUUAAGGUCAUUACAAGUGCGGUUGAUAUUUGACAGUACGGAUCUAAUGCCGUCGUUGAAAUUAACCAACUGUUGGUGAUGAUUUUCUUUAACUGACUAAUAUACCGGUCAGCGACGCUACUGCUUUGGGUACUUUCAGGACCCGUCUUGAAACACGGACCAAGGAGUCUAACAUGUACGCGAGUCAUUGGGACUUCUAAAACAAACCUAAAGGCAUAAUGAAAGUAAAGAUUGUCGUAUGACAAUUAAGGGAAGAUAGGUUACAUUAAGGUGUGAUCUCGCAUUCCCGGGGUA